This is an RNA transcript of Drosophila albomicans, 1298 nucleotides long. It is a transcript of the gene named arrestin domain-containing protein 3-like, with no coding region annotated. The record is from RefSeq and is a predicted model, not a curated record. Lineage: Eukaryota; Metazoa; Arthropoda; Insecta; Diptera; Drosophilidae. The transcript is spliced from 4 exons.
CAUAAAUAUGUUGCCAUGAACAUCCAUGCGCCCACAGACAAUAAAGAAAGCUUUUGACAGUCUUUCUCAAUUGUAGUUCCAGGCCUGAAAUUUCGGCACUUUCUUUAGCGUGUUGCUCCGAUUAAAGGCGGCUUCGAUUGACGCUGCUUCGAAUAAUUGUUUAAAAAAUGACAACUUGUUUUGCCACAUUUGAUCAAAACAAAAGGAAUUACAAAGCCGGUGAAUCUGUUAGAGGCCAAUUUGUUUUAAAUACAACCACGGAUAAACCCGUUCAUGCGGUCUACAUACAAUUGCGGGGAGAAGGAAUAGUGUUUGUAAAUGAAUACAGAAAUGUGCCUAUGAAGAGCGGCAUAGAAAAAAUAGUGGAUACACGAGUUAACAUUAUUGAAGCGACGUCCCUAGCGGCUGGCACCUACACAAUCCCAUUUAACUUCGUUAUACCAGAUAAUGCUCCAACGUCAUGCUUUUUCGACCUUGGAAUAGUGAAGUAUUCUGUUGUGCUUGUUAUCGAUCGUCCAUGGAAGUUUGAUAAAGAAUUUGAAGAGCUCAUAAACGUAAGAGGAUGCUACGAUCUUAGCAAGUAUCCAGAGCUGUUCCCAUAGAAAAUGAAGUCAUAAAGAGCUUUUGCUGCUGGCCCUGUGCCUCAGCCCCAAUCAUAUUAAGUUUAAGGAUGCCCAUCAGUGGAUAUGUGCCCGGCGAGACAAUUAACUGCAUCAUAAGCAUAGAUAACCAGGCGGUGGGUAACGAUUUGGUUAACGUUCAAUUGUCCCUUAUUCAAAUCGUCAAGUUUGCGAGUAUCUUAUCUGAUGCAAGAACUGUAAUACGCACACGGAAAGCGGUAAUCUGCUCUAACCUGGUCGCAGAUCGGAUAAAUCGAUUGUCUAAGAAAUUUAUAAAUGGCACUCUUGUUGUGCCAGACACAGUUCACUCCUCUCGAGAAAGACACGUUAUUCGCAUUCAAUAUUUGGUGUUAUUGAGCAUGGCGUUCGGGUAUUUUCAUCCAAAUUGUGUCAUAGAAGUACCUAUAGUAAUAGGUACCGAACCACUGAUCCCGAAUCUUAAUGAUAACCUAGCAUCGGCAACUGAAAUCACACAAUGGAUACCUCAGACACCUGACACUCCAGCUGGAGCAACAGCACCAUCGGCUCCAUGCUUUGACGAUUCUGAACCAAAUACUACAGAAAAAAAAUAGUGUCUACUCUAAAAAGCCGCCUAAAAUCAAGUGGUAAUGAAUACUUACUGUAUUGAUAUUCACAAUAAUUUAUUUAUGCAACUUUUGUUUCUAAUUAUACACAUAC